AGCGAACGCUGGCGGCAGGCCUAACACAUGCAAGUCGAACGAACCUUUCGGGGUUAGUGGCGGACGGGUGAGUAACACGUGGGAACGUGCCUUUAGGUUCGGAAUAACUCAGGGAAACUUGUGCUAAUACCGAAUGUGCCCUUCGGGGGAAAGAUUUAUCGCCUUUAGAGCGGCCCGCGUCUGAUUAGCUAGUUGGUCGAGGUAAUGGCUCACCAAGGCGACGAUCAGUAGCUGGUCUGAGAGGAUGAUCAGCCACAUUGGGACUGAGACACGGCCCAAACUCCUACGGGAGGCAGCAGUGGGGAAUCUUGCGCAAUGGGCGAAAGCCUGACGCAGCCAUGCCGCGUGAAUGAUGAAGGUCUUAGGAUUGUAAAAUUCUUUCACCGGGAACGAUAAUGACGGUACCCGGAGAAGAAGCCCCGGCUAACUUCGUG
Molecule: ribosomal RNA, 434 nt
Filed under: uncultured bacterium
Lineage: Bacteria
Description: partial 16S ribosomal RNA
Rfam family: Bacterial small subunit ribosomal RNA
Source: RNAcentral